This 520-nucleotide ribosomal RNA is filed under the name uncultured bacterium. RNAcentral's name for it is "bacterial SSU rRNA". It matches the Rfam family "Bacterial small subunit ribosomal RNA", at positions 8 to 518 of the family's 1533-position model. The record is from RNAcentral.
AGAGUUGAUCCUGGCUCAGAACGAACGCUGGCGGCGCGUCUUAAGCAUGCAAGUCGAACGGCAAGAGGUAGCAAUACCUCCUAGAGUGGCGGACUGGUAAGUAACACGUGGGUGACAUACCCUUCAGAUGGGGAUAGCUAUUAGAAAUAGUAGAUAAUACCGAAUACGAGCACAGGGGUUAGAGAUCUGUGAGGAAAGGAGCUAAGGCUCCGCUGAAGGAAUGGCCUGCGGCCCAUUAGCUAGUUGGUGAGGUAAGAGCCCACCAAGGCGAUGAUGGGUAUCCGGCCUUAGAGGGUGAACGGACACAUUGGGACUGAGAUACGGCCCAGACUCCUACGGGAGGCAGCAGCUAAGAAUAUUCCGCAAUGGACGAAAGUCUGACGGAGCGACGCCGCGUGGAUGAAGAAGGCCGGAAGGUUGUAAAAUCCUUUUGAAACUGAAGAAUAAGCGUUGUAGGGAAUGACAGCGUGGUGACAGUAGGUUUUGAAUAAGCAACGGCUAAUUACGUGCCAGCAGCCGC